RNAcentral lists this ribosomal RNA (253 nucleotides) under uncultured bacterium. RNAcentral's name for it is "partial 16S ribosomal RNA". It matches the Rfam family "Bacterial small subunit ribosomal RNA", at positions 524 to 776 of the family's 1533-position model. The record is from RNAcentral.
UACGAAGGGUGCUAGCGUUGUUCGGAAUCACUGGGCGUAAAGCGCGCGUAGGCGGCGCAGCAAGUCAGAGGUGAAAGCCUGGAGCUCAACUCCAGAAUUGCCUUUGAAACUGCUGUGCUAGAGUGUCGGAGGGGAUAGCGGAAUUCCUAAUGUAGAGGUGAAAUUCGUAGAUAUUAGGAGGAACACCGGUGGCGAAGGCGGCUAUCUGGACGACAACUGACGCUGAGGCGCGAAAGCGUGGGGAUCAAACAGG